UGCCAGCCGCCGCGGUAAUACGGAGGGUGCGAGCGUUAAUCGGAAUCACUGGGCGUAAAGCGUACGUAGGUGGCAAAGUCAGUCAGGCGUGAAAGCCCUCGGCUUAACCGAGGAGGGUGAUUUGAAACUGGUAGACUUGAGUACGGCAGAGGUUAGUGGAAUUCAAUGUGUAGCGGUGGAAUGCGUAGAUAUAUUGAGGAACACCAGUGGCGAAGGCGGCUAACUGGCUCGAUACUGACGCUGAGGUGCGAAAGUGUGGGGAGCAAACCGGAUUAGAUA
This 279-nucleotide ribosomal RNA is filed under the name uncultured bacterium. RNAcentral's name for it is "partial 16S ribosomal RNA". It matches the Rfam family "Bacterial small subunit ribosomal RNA", at positions 506 to 784 of the family's 1533-position model. The record is from RNAcentral.